Molecule: ribosomal RNA, 253 nt
Filed under: uncultured bacterium
Lineage: Bacteria
Description: partial 16S ribosomal RNA
Rfam family: Bacterial small subunit ribosomal RNA
Source: RNAcentral
UACGGGGGGGGCAAGCGUUGUUCGGAAUUACUGGGCGUAAAGGGCUCGUAGGUGGCCAACUAAGUCAGACGUGAAAUCCCUCGGCUUAACCGGGGAACUGCGUCUGAUACUGGAUGGCUUGAGUUUGGGAGAGGGACGCGGAAUUCCAGGUGUAGCGGUGAAAUGCGUAGAGCUCGGGAAGAACAUCGGUGGCGAAAGCGCUCUGCUGGACUGCAACUGACACUCAGGGACGAAAGCUAGGGGAGCGAAUGGG